This 299-nucleotide signal recognition particle RNA is filed under the name Aotus nancymaae (Ma's night monkey). RNAcentral's name for it is "Metazoan signal recognition particle RNA (ENSANAG00000012392.1)". It matches the Rfam family "Metazoan signal recognition particle RNA". Rfam says of the family: The signal recognition particle (SRP) is a universally conserved ribonucleoprotein. It is involved in the co-translational targeting of proteins to membranes. The record is from RNAcentral. Lineage: Eukaryota; Metazoa; Chordata; Mammalia; Primates; Aotidae.
GCCAGGCGCGGUGGUGCAUGCCUGUAGUCCCAGCUAUUCAGGAGGCUGAGGCCGGAGGAUCUCUUGAGUCUAGGAGUUCUGGGCUGUAGUGCACUAUGCUAAUCGGGUGUCUGCACUAAGUUUAGCAUCAAUAUGGUGACCUCCUGGGAGUGAGGGACCACCAGAUUGCCUAAGGAGGGGAGAACUGGCCCAGGUCAGAAAUGGAGCAGGUCAAAACUCUCGUGCUGAUGAGUAGUGGGAUCUCGCCUGUGAAUAGCCACUGCACUCCAGCCUGGGCAACAUAGUGAGACCCUGUCUCU